Long non-coding RNA from Xiphophorus couchianus (Monterrey platyfish), 1910 nucleotides. RefSeq lists it as uncharacterized. The transcript has 4 exons. The record is from RefSeq and is a predicted model, not a curated record. Lineage: Eukaryota; Metazoa; Chordata; Actinopteri; Cyprinodontiformes; Poeciliidae.
UGCUUCAUUACUGAUUGUCCUACAAGCUCUCUGUAUUUUGCACAAUAUAUGAAUAAACCUGAUUGAGUGAUUUCACCUGAACAGUGCUUGGAAAUAGUAUUUUUUCCACAACAGUUUGGUGCCAUGACCCGGAUCCCUCGACUGGACAUCUGAGGACGUCGACGAACAGCGUUAAGAGCGCGACCUGGACUAAACUCCAGCCUCAAACCUCGUUUAAGAUGAUGGCCGUCCAGGGCUGUUGGUCGGCUCCACGGCUCCAGCGCUGGGAUCAACGAACUGAAAACCACUGUUACCAGAUUGCCUUUGCACCUGCAGUAACUCAUAAGCCAGAACGCUGACACAGAGCGUGUGAAGCCCUCCCUGUCAUGUCAGUCAGCGCCGUGCAACAAGUGGUGACUAAGCGACGAUCCAGGAGCAGCGACAUCCUGACCGGACGUGACUCUGCACAAAGUUACCAGAUUCUCGCUCUCUCACCGUUCUCCCUGGGAGAAACCAAUCAGACUCCAUCUACCAGCAUUCAUAGAGCUGCAAGUCAACUUUGUCACAUCCGCCACAAUAGCAACCAUGGAUGCAGAGAUAAGGGUGUGUUUGGAGGAAAAACCUCCUACAGAGACACACACACACACACACCUGACCUGAUCUUUGAAGCGAAACUUGCUGGACUUUUAAGAAUUGCUGUUUGUGCAUCUCUGACAACUGAGUGACGAUAUCAGACAUACAAGAAUAAAUUGUAUUAUGAAGAUGUUUAUCAUGUUACCUAUCUCCCUUUUGCUCUUCCAUGAGGAUAUUCUCAUUUCCCGCAGCCUCUGUUUCUACUAAAGUCGUAUUGCCAAUUAUCCACAUUAAUAAUGGCAUUUAGCAACAACUGAGAACUGAGCAAUUAGCAACACUCGUUUUUACAGUGUCUAAAUGCUGAAAAACAAGAGGCAGCAUAAUGACAUGAUGCCUGCAAACUGAGAAUUUCUGAGAAACAAAGUGUCAGUCAUCUUGUUUUCAGAUCAUCCUAAUCUGAACGAGACCAUUGUCAGUAAGGAAUGUGAAAUAUUCAUCUCAGCAUCGUUUUAUUUUAAUUUUCAAACUGCUUUACGAUGCAUGAGCAGGUUUUCAGUUGGUGCAGAACAACUGAUCUUUGAAGGCUGCAGGUGAAACAAAGUGCUUUGUUUUUCUUUUUCUUUCCUGUUUUUUAACGGUAUUCAUUUUUACGUUGCUUCUAUUGCAUCUGCGACAGAGUUGAACUUCAAGACGUUUCAGGUGAGCGAAUGCAGGGAUCUGCUGACCUCUGCAGCCUAUCGGCAAAGUUGCACCAGGAAAUGGAUUUCUUUGGUUUUUUGCAUCACAAUGACCAAAACUAAAGUUGACGUCAGCUGAAGACGCGGUGAGAUUGAAAUGAUUCAUUGCGAAUUGGUUUACACUCGCCAUCAUUUCCCUCAGUGUUAUCCAUAAAGCAGAGCGGUGACGCUGUGCGCCGGGUCCCCUCUGGUUGCUGCUCAUCUUUUUAAAAAAAACCGGUCACCACAAAUUGGAUUCAACAAAUCCGCAGCUUCCCUCUGAUCGAGUUACUCUGUUUAUUGCCUCUUAUGAGUUUCCUCCGUCAGCAUCCAGCGGCUGCAGGAGAACAACCGGCUCCAGGCACAAAAAGCAGGGAUUUUCCUGCUGGCAUUGUCAGCCGAACACGUGACUCCCAGCUUGGUAGGAAGCAAGACAACACAAACACUUCUGCUGGAAGAUGACACGAGCAAGGGUUCCCAUGGCAACUGUGGGAAAGACUGGUGGUGUGAGGAUGGCACCGGAGUAUUGUUCUCAUCGGGAGAGUGCUCUGAAUCAUCUGUCAGUGAACUGUUUGCUGCUGCUGCAGCCACGGAAGGGAGACUGUGUGUUUGUGGAGCUUGUUUGCUGUAGCGAACUGUGUG